AUUUCUUUAGUAUUAACUUAGUACAACUAACUUCCAAUUAGUAG
Molecule: transfer RNA, 44 nt
Filed under: Loxodonta cyclotis (African forest elephant)
Lineage: Eukaryota; Metazoa; Chordata; Mammalia; Proboscidea; Elephantidae
Description: partial tRNA-Gly
Source: RNAcentral